CCGCGGAGCAUAUAUUGACCCAGUUGAGCGGAGACCUCGUCUUGUGUUAACAUUUUUCUAAAGACAGUAGUGUUAUAGAACCGAUUUAUACAAAAAUAAGAAGUGUUUGUAUAUUUUAUGUUCUGAGUUAUUUCCCUACUUGUUAGAAAAUUUUAGUUUUGACGAAAAUGCUGUAGGUUGUCUGUAAAGAGACUAUGAGCGUAGGUUGAAUCGAAGAACUAAAGAAAGACAAAAAAUUUAUGUAUAUAUAAUAAACAGAGUUAUAUAAAAAAAAACGCUGCACUGAAAGUUUUGGAGUUUGAAAACUGAACUUUUGAUUUCUUUAAUGGUGUGUGC
This is a non-coding RNA of Schizosaccharomyces pombe (fission yeast), 336 nucleotides long. NCBI's taxonomy places the organism in Eukaryota, Fungi, Ascomycota, Schizosaccharomycetes, Schizosaccharomycetales, Schizosaccharomycetaceae. The record is from the annotation of a GenBank genome assembly.